AUGCCAGAGACCCCCUCAAGCCAAUGUAAUACCCCAAACCCAACCCCCACGACUUUCACAGGGUUUCUGGGAACAGGGGAGGAUCCUGCCCCAGGUGAGAACCAAUGAAACGGAGGGUUGCCUACUGCUCUCUCCUCUUUGCAAGAAUUCAGUUCUCCAAGGAAUUAGGAAAGAGCAGAAUCGAACUGGGGACAGCCACCGGUAGGAGAAGAUUUCUGGCAUCUGAACCUCAUUUCAUAAGAGCCACCUUUGAGAGAGAGUUCCGUCAACCAACUAACCAGCCAAUUAGAAUCCAUCAUUGAAGCUCGCACGUUGAACCAUGGAUUGAUGACCAUGCUUCCUUCUUUCCCCCUCAGGUCCCAAAGGGGGGCCUACAGAAUCGUUUUCAAGUGGAAUAUGAGUGGUGGUUUCCCACAGUUAAGCAGAGGAGUUGAGCUCAGAAACUCAGUUCUUCUCCGACUUUGUAAGCUCAGUGUUUCGGAAUCAUUCACUGCCAUCUGCCUUCACAGCCUCCGGGAAACAAGGAACAGGAAAGGAGAGAACAAUGGAAUCCAUGGACCGGUGGGUUGCCCCCUCAGCUCUGCCUCUUAAAGAGUCUCAGAACAGUUACUAAACCUC
Molecule: long non-coding RNA, 618 nt
Organism: Leopardus geoffroyi (Geoffroy's cat)
Lineage: Eukaryota; Metazoa; Chordata; Mammalia; Carnivora; Felidae
Exons: 2
Source: RefSeq, a predicted model, not a curated record